UUUUAGGGGGGCUUAUUUACAACUCCUUAAGCACUAAAAAUAAUAAUUGUUUUCAGGACAUCAUGCUCUUUAUAUACUAUAAAGUGGUCUAAUCAUAUUUUAUUUUUUUUACAGGCAAAAGAGAAAAAUAUGGCUAAAACUUUAAAUUUUAUGUUUGCUCUGAUUUUAUUUAUUUCCUUGUUUCUUGUUUCAAAGAAUGUUGCUAUUGAUAUUUUUGUAUGUCAAACUGAUGCUGAUUGUCCAAAAAGUGAGUUAAGUAUGUAUACCUGGAAGUGCAUUGAUAAUGAAUGCAAUCUGUUUAAAGUCAUGCAACAGAUGGUAUGAGUAUCAGGCCCAAGAGAUUUAAUUUACGCCAUGCAAUGAAGAAUGAAUUCUUAAAAUAGAAAAAAAAAUUGUUGAAUAUGCCUUAUACUAGGAUAUUUCGUAAUUGGCAUUAGUUAUUAUGCUCUCACCCAAUAAUUGUAUUUUUUUUAAUUAUUUUUAUUUUUCAUAAUUUCAUAGACCUUGUAA
Medicago truncatula (barrel medic) is the source of this 510-nucleotide long non-coding RNA. RefSeq lists it as uncharacterized. Lineage: Eukaryota; Viridiplantae; Streptophyta; Magnoliopsida; Fabales; Fabaceae. The record is from RefSeq and is a predicted model, not a curated record. The transcript is spliced from 2 exons.